GAGUUUGAUCCUGGCUCAGAUUGAACGCUGGCGGCAUGCCUUACACAUGCAAGUCGAACGGUAACAGGUCUUCGGACGCUGACGAGUGGCGAACGGGUGAGUAAUACAUCGGAACGUGCCCAGUCGUGGGGGAUAACUACUCGAAAGAGUAGCUAAUACCGCAUGCGAUCUGAGGAUGAAAGCGGGGGACCUUCGGGCCUCGCGCGAUUGGAGCGGCCGAUGGCAGAUUAGGUAGUUGGUGGGAUAAAAGCUUACCAAGCCGACGAUCUGUAGCUGGUCUGAGAGGACGACCAGCCACACUGGGACUGAGACACGGCCCAGACUCCUACGGGAGGCAGCAGUGGGGAAUUUUGGACAAUGGGCGAAAGCCUGAUCCAGCAAUGCCGCGUGCAGGAUGAAGGCCUUCGGGUUGUAAACUGCUUUUGUACGGAACGAAAAAGCUUCUCCUAAUACGAGAGGCCCAUGACGGUACCGUAAGAAUAA
RNAcentral lists this ribosomal RNA (483 nucleotides) under uncultured beta proteobacterium. RNAcentral's name for it is "bacterial SSU rRNA". It matches the Rfam family "Bacterial small subunit ribosomal RNA", at positions 9 to 489 of the family's 1533-position model. Lineage: Bacteria; Pseudomonadati; Pseudomonadota; Betaproteobacteria. The record is from RNAcentral.